RNAcentral lists this ribosomal RNA (1319 nucleotides) under uncultured Alphaproteobacteria bacterium. RNAcentral's name for it is "bacterial SSU rRNA". It matches the Rfam family "Bacterial small subunit ribosomal RNA", at positions 27 to 1392 of the family's 1533-position model. The record is from RNAcentral. Lineage: Bacteria; Pseudomonadati; Pseudomonadota; Alphaproteobacteria.
GAACGUACGCUGGCGGCACGCCUAACACAUGCAAGUCGAACGAAGUAGCAAUACUUAGUGGCAGACGGGUGAGUAACAUGUAGGUAUCUGCCCUUUGGCCUGGAAUAACACGAGGAAACUUGUGCUAAUACCGGAUAAGUCUUUACGGAGAAAGCUUUAUGCACCAUUGGAUGAGCCUGCACUUGAUUAGUUUGUUGGUGGGGUAAUAGCCUACCAAGACUGUGAUCAAUAGCUGAUUUGAGAGGAUGAUCAGCCACAUUGGGACUGAGACACGGCCCAAACUCCUACGGGAGGCAGCAGUGGGGAAUCUUGCACAAUGGAGGAAACUCUGAUGCAGCGAUGCCGCGUGAGUGAAGAAGGCCUUUGGGUUGUAAAGCUCUUUCGUCGGGGAAGAAAAUGACUGUACCCGAAUAAGAAGGUCCGGCUAACUUCGUGCCAGCAGCCGCGGUAAUACGAAGGGACCUAGCGUAGUUCGGAAUUACUGGGCUUAAAGAGUUCGUAGGUGGUUGAAAAAGUUAGUGGUGAAAUCCCAGAGCUUAACUCUGGAACUGCCAUUAAAACUUUUCAGCUAGAGUAUGAUAGAGGAAAGCAGAAUUUCUAGUGUAGAGGUGAAAUUCGUAGAUAUUAGAAAGAAUACCAAUUGCGAAAGGCAGCUUUCUGGAUCAUUACUGACACUGAGGAACGAAAGCAUGGGUAGCGAAGAGGAUUAGAUACCCUCGUAGUCCAUGCCGUAAACGAUGUGUGUUAGACGUUGGAAAUUUAUUUUCAGUGUCGCAGCGAAAGCGAUAAACACACCGCCUGGGGAGUACGACCGCAAGGUUAAAACUCAAAUGAAUUGACGGGGACCCGCACAAGUAGUGGAGCAUGUGGUUUAAUUCGAAGAUACGCGCAGAACCUUACCAACACUUGACAUGUUCGUCGCGACUCUAAGAGAUUAGAGUUUUCGGUUCGGCCGGACGAAACACAGGUGCUGCAUGGCUGUCGUCAGCUCGUGUCGUGAGAUGUUGGGUUAAGUCCCGCAACGAGCGCAACCCUCACUUUUAGUUGCCAUCAUUAAGUUGGGCACUCUGAAAGAACUGCCAGUGAUAAGCUGGAGGAAGGUGGGGAUGACGUCAAGUCCUCAUGGCCCUUACGUGUUGGGCUACACACGUGCUACAAUGGUAUCUACAACAGGAAGCAAGACUGCGAAGUUAAGCAAAUCCCUAAAAGAUACCUCAGUUCGGACUGCACUCUGCAACUCGAGUGCAUGAAGCUGGAAUUACUAGUAAUCGUGGAUCAGCGUGCCACGGUGAAUGCGUUCCCGGGUCUUGUACACACCG